Non-coding RNA from Cinara cedri, 333 nucleotides. NCBI's taxonomy places the organism in Eukaryota, Metazoa, Arthropoda, Insecta, Hemiptera, Aphididae. The record is from the annotation of a GenBank genome assembly.
ACCUCGAAAUAACCGCUUGGCCAGAGGGAGAGAAAAGUCCGAUACUUCUUGCCCAUUCCGGAAUGCUGGCGGCGCGUACGUUAUUACUAUUUUAUGCGAAUAGCGUAUCCGUCCUUCAUUGCCUAUGGUUUUCCCCGACCUCGGUCGGCCUUGUCGGGCUCCACCGAUCACCGCUGGGGCGCGGGUAAGUACACAUGUUUUGUUCAUAUUAUCAACGUAUUACGCGGUUUGUAUAGGAUAUACAAUAGCUGAUAUUGUAUCUUAUAUACAAUACGUCAAUAAUCAUGUUAUGCAUAGCGUGUUGAAGUUUUACUACGGUUUAACCGAAACAUU